UUAAUUCGAACAGUUUCAUUGGUCCACUGUGACCUGUUCGGUAAUUUCAUUGGUCCGAUGUGACGAGGCUAAAUGUUUUGGCGGCAUGAAGCUCGUUAGCCCGUAAAAAUCCAUAAAUUAGCGGCGUCAUUGUUUAAGCCGCAGUGUUCAAAGCGUGUGACAAAAGUAGCGGCUUAUAGUCCGGAAAUUACGAGCACAAGGAACACAGCACUGCGGCAUGGUGAAAAUACGAGAGCGUCAGUCAACGCAAUAGAAGCUGGGACCCGGAAACAGUAUUCUCGGUAGCUCAUUAUGUCAUGACUUAACAAGCGGAUUAUGGCUCUGGCUAAUUUAAAUUUAAUGUAGAUCACCCAAUUAGUGCCUGACUGCAUAGCAUAAACGAUGCCUGUUAAAACAAUCUCGGUUCCUCAUCAUCUAACAACUAACAUAUUGAAUGUACUGG
Long non-coding RNA from Ictalurus punctatus (channel catfish), 442 nucleotides. RefSeq lists it as uncharacterized. The record is from RefSeq and is a predicted model, not a curated record. NCBI's taxonomy places the organism in Eukaryota, Metazoa, Chordata, Actinopteri, Siluriformes, Ictaluridae. The transcript is spliced from 2 exons.